Molecule: ribosomal RNA, 451 nt
Filed under: uncultured bacterium
Lineage: Bacteria
Description: partial 16S ribosomal RNA
Rfam family: Bacterial small subunit ribosomal RNA
Source: RNAcentral
AACGAACGCUGGCGGCAGGCCUAACACAUGCAAGUCGAGCGCCCGGAUUUAUCCGGGAGCGACGCACGGGUGAGUAACGCGUGGGAACAUGCCCUGACGUACGGAACAACCUGGGGAAACCUUGGCUAAUACCGUAUACGCCCUGAGGGGGAAAGAUUUAUCGCUUUGGGAUUGGCCCGCGUUGGAUUAGCUGGUUGGUGUGGUAACGGCGCACCAAGGCGACGAUCCAUAACUGGUCUGAGAGGAUGACCAGUCACACUGGGACUGAGACACGGCCCAGACUCCUACGGGAGGCAGCAGUGGGGAAUAUUGGACAAUGGGCGAAAGCCUGAUCCAGCCAUGCCGCGUGAGUGAAGAAGGCCUUCGGGUUGUAAAGCUCUUUCAGCGGGGACGAUGAUGACGGUACCCGCAGAAGAAGCCCCGGCUAACUUCGUGCCAGCAGCCACCGCAG